RNAcentral lists this ribosomal RNA (372 nucleotides) under uncultured bacterium. Its description in RNAcentral is "bacterial SSU rRNA". It matches the Rfam family "Bacterial small subunit ribosomal RNA", at positions 521 to 896 of the family's 1533-position model. The record is from RNAcentral.
UAAUACGUAGGUGGCAAGCGUUGUCCGGAUUUACUGGGCGUAAAGCGUAUGCAGGCGGACCGUUAAGUAGGAAGUGAAAGGUUGGAGCUCAACUCUAACACUGCUCCCUAUACUGGCGGUCUUGAGUGGCGGAGAGGAAGAUGGAACGACACGUGUAGCGGUGAAAUGCGUUGAUAUGUGUCGGAACACCAACGGCGAAAGCAAUCUUCUGGACGCAAACUGACGCUGAGAUACGAAAGCCAAGGUAGCAAACAGGAUUAGAUACCCUGGUAGUCUUGGCCAUAAACGAUGAUCACUAGGUGUUGGGGCUUUGCCUCGGUGCCGCAGCUAACGCAUUAAGUGAUCCGCCUGGGAACUACGAGCGCAAGCUUA